RNAcentral lists this ribosomal RNA (616 nucleotides) under uncultured bacterium. Its description in RNAcentral is "bacterial SSU rRNA". It matches the Rfam family "Bacterial small subunit ribosomal RNA", at positions 241 to 856 of the family's 1533-position model. The record is from RNAcentral.
UUAGUUAGUUGGUAGGGUAACGGCUUACCAAGGCUACGAUGGAUAGGGGUUCUGAGAGGAUACACCCCCACACUGGAACUGAGACACGGUCCAGACUCCUACGGGAGGCAGCAGUAAGGAAUAUUGGUCAAUGGAGGCAACUCUGAACCAGCCAUGCCGCGUGCAGGAAGACUGCCCUAUGGGUUGUAAACUGCUUUUAAUAGGGAGUAAUUAUAACUACGUGUAGUUAUUUGCAAGUACCUAUAGAAUAAGCAUCGGCUAACUCCGUGCCAGCAGCCGCGGUAAUACGGAGGAUGCAAGCGUUAUCCGGAUUUAUUGGGUUUAAAGGGUGCGCAGGCGGACUAAUCAGUCAGUGGUGAAAUCUACAUGCUCAACAUGUAACCUGCCAUUGAUACUGUUAGACUAGUAUACAAAUGACGUAGCUGGAAUGUGUUAUGUAGCGGUGAAAUGCAUAGAUAUAACACAGAACACCGAUCGUGAAGACAGGUUACGAAUUUGUUAUAGACGCUCAUGCACGAAAGCGUGGGGAUCAAACAGGAUUAGAUACCCUGGUAGUCCACGCUGUAAACGAUGAUAACUUGUUGUUGGGCAUUUAAUGUUCAGUGGCUAAGCGAAA